CUGAUUCCUAGUACGGCGAGUGAGAGGAAGAGCUCAAAGUUGGAAACUGUUUGGCUUAGCUAAACCGUAUUGUAAACUGUAGAAACAUUUUCCUGGCACACCAGAUUAAUAAGUCCUUUGGAACAAGGCAUCAUGGAGGGUGAGAAUCCCGUCUUUGAUCUGAGUAGUUGUCUUUUGUGAUAUGUUUUCAAAGAGUCAGGUUGUUUGGGAAUGCAGCCUAAAUUGGGUGGUAAAUCUCACCUAAAGCUAAAUAUUUGCGAGAGACCGAUAGCGAACAAGUACCGUGAGGGAAAGAUGAAAAGAACUUUGAAAAGAGAGUUAAACAGUAUGUGAAAUUGUUAAAAGGGAACCGUUUGGAGCCAGACUGGUUUGCUUGUAAUCAACCUAGAAUUCGUUUUGGGUGCACUUGCAGGCUAUACCUGCCAACAACAGUUUGAUUUGGAGGAAAAAAUUAGUAGGAAUGUAGCCUCUCGAGGUGUUAUAGCCUACUAUCAUACUCUGGAUUGGACUGAGGAACGCAGCGAAUGCCUUUAGGCAAGAUUGCUGGGUGCUUUCGCUAAUAAAUGUUAGAAUUUCUGCUUCGGGUGGUGCUAAUGUUUAAAGGAGGAACACAUCUAGUAUAUUUUUUAUUCGCUUAGGUUGUUGGCUUAAUGACUCUAAAAAACAAAAUCUUGAACCACCGGACACCAA
This 690-nucleotide ribosomal RNA is filed under the name Mucor racemosus. Its description in RNAcentral is "eukaryotic LSU rRNA". It matches the Rfam family "Eukaryotic large subunit ribosomal RNA", at positions 71 to 678 of the family's 3401-position model. Lineage: Eukaryota; Fungi; Mucoromycota; Mucoromycetes; Mucorales; Mucoraceae. The record is from RNAcentral.